Molecule: long non-coding RNA, 867 nt
Organism: Papaver somniferum (opium poppy)
Lineage: Eukaryota; Viridiplantae; Streptophyta; Magnoliopsida; Ranunculales; Papaveraceae
Exons: 3
Source: RefSeq, a predicted model, not a curated record
GAACCGAGGAAGGGGGUACAGGUACCGGUCCAAAAAAUAGGAACCGAGGCUAGGGAGGUACAGGUACUCGGCCCUACCCAUAUCCCGUGCCGAACUGUACCGACUGUACCGAUCAUUUGUGAUCGUUAGAUUUCUAUCUAAUCUAACGGUGGUAGAUAUCUAGUAUAUAUAGGAAUGAAGUUAGGGUUAGAAACAGAAGUGAUUCAUUUUCUUUUUCCUUCUUCUUCUUCGACUCUCUCCUGUCCCGAGUCUCCUCCUCCAUCACUGUGUUCAUAAGAACACACGUUAAACAACACCAAAUCCAUCACUGUUUGUUUGAUUAAUUCAAUAAGUUAACUAGAAGUCUAUAACAGGUAACCAAAAUUUCUUUGAUUAUGAUUAUUAUUGUGAUUCUGUGAUGUUUUUAUUAUUUUUUUUAAUUUUGAUUCUGAUUAUUAUCUUCCUUUUGUGUGUGUGUUCAGUUAAAUUUAAACUGAGGAGUGAAUUGGGUACCCGAAAUCUCGAUCUGUUUGUUAUGAAUCUUCUGAUUCCUUAAUCAUUUGAUUAGACAACGUCGACUUGGGAACAGCUUGUGGACGAUACCACCGUGUUUCAUGCCUUAGUAUCAUUGAUCCAGGUGAUUCUGAUAUCAUCAAAACCCUUCCCGGUGACCAGUAAGCGAAGAAAGCUAGCGGAUCCAAUCGAUAGAUCCAGAAUUUUUCUUGUUUGGGUUGACUCUUUUUCUAUCUAGUAUGAGUUGAGUUAUAGUGAAAUUGAAUCAGGCUAUUUCAAAUUUGUAAGUCCGAAAGAACACAUUAAUACUGAAUGUUUUUUGGUAGCUGAAUCUGAAAGUAUGUUCUUGCACUUUAUGAAUGUCGUGUGAGACUA